Molecule: ribosomal RNA, 440 nt
Filed under: uncultured bacterium
Lineage: Bacteria
Description: bacterial SSU rRNA
Rfam family: Bacterial small subunit ribosomal RNA
Source: RNAcentral
CGCCCGGGGCGCGCCCCGGGCGGGGCGGGGGCACGGGGGGAACGCGAAGAACCUUACCUGGUCUUGACAUCCACGGAACUUUCCAGAGAUGGAUUGGUGCCUUCGGGAACUUUGAUACAGGUGCUGCAUGGCUGUCGUCAGCUCGUGUUGUGAAAUGUUGGGUUAAGUCCCGCAACGAGCGCAACCCUUUUCCUUUGUUGCCAGCGGUUCGGCCGGGAACUCAAAGGAGACUGCCAGUGACAAACUGGAGGAAGGCGGGGAUGACGUCAAGUCAUCAUGGCCCUUACGACCAGGGCUACACACGUGCUACAAUGGUGCGUACAAAGGGAAGCUACCUAGCGAGAGCAAGCGGACCUCAUAAAGUGCAUAGUAGUCCGGAUUGGAGUCUGCAACUCGACUCCAUGAAGUCGGAAUCGCUAGUAAUCGCGGAUCAGAAAGCC